RNAcentral lists this ribosomal RNA (450 nucleotides) under uncultured bacterium. RNAcentral's name for it is "partial 16S ribosomal RNA". It matches the Rfam family "Bacterial small subunit ribosomal RNA", at positions 354 to 796 of the family's 1533-position model. The record is from RNAcentral.
GUGGGGAAUUUUGGACAAUGGGCGCAAGCCUGAUCCAGCCAUGCCGCGUGCAGGAUGAAGGCCUUCGGGUUGUAAACUGCUUUUGUACGGAACGAAAAGACUCCUUCUAAUAAAGGGGGUCCAUGACGGUACCGUAAGAAUAAGCACCGGCUAACUACGUGCCAGCAGCCGCGGUAAUACGUAGGGUGCAAGCGUUAAUCAGAAUUACUGGGAGUAAAGCGUGCGCAGGCGGUUAUAUAAGACAGAUGUGAAAUCCCCGGGCUCAACCUGGGAACUGCAUUUGUGACUGUAUAGCUAGAGUACGGUAGAGGGGGAUGGAAUUCCGCGUGUAGCAGUGAAAUGCGUAGAUAUGCGGAGGAACACCGAUGGCGAAGGCAAUCCCCUGGACCUGUACUGACGCUCAUGCACGAAAGCGUGGGGAGCAAACAGGAUUAGAUACCCGGGUAGUCC